GUGAAAAUGGGUCCUGGGACUUCGUGGUAGAACAGCCCCCUGAUGCCCCCAAGAGGAGACAGGCUGGGCAGCUGGGCCUUCGCACUCUGGACCCUUGUCACUACCUGCACAUUCCCAUCCAGAUGGACCUGCCCGAUCUGGGCAUGACGCAUGGGCCCAGAGCUCCCCCAGCCUCGGGGUCUUCACCUGUAAAAUGGGGACCAGUAAUUCCAACCGCAACCCUUUCAUCAUUUACUGAGAAAAAACCAACUGAGGCAAUAUUCCACCGCCCUAGCCCCAGCCACUCCGAAGACAGCAGUGCUGAGCGGCAGCUUGAUCGAUGGCUCGGUGCCUGAUCCUGGUAAU
This is a long non-coding RNA of Tupaia belangeri chinensis (Chinese tree shrew), 345 nucleotides long. RefSeq lists it as uncharacterized. The transcript is spliced from 3 exons. NCBI's taxonomy places the organism in Eukaryota, Metazoa, Chordata, Mammalia, Scandentia, Tupaiidae. The record is from RefSeq and is a predicted model, not a curated record.